GCGAGAGUGGCGGAACUGGCAGACGCGCAGGACUUAGGAUCCUGUGGAGAAAUCCGUCCGGGUUCGACCCCCGGCUCUCGCA
Molecule: transfer RNA, 82 nt
Filed under: Gemmatimonadota bacterium
Lineage: Bacteria; Pseudomonadati; Gemmatimonadota
Description: Gemmatimonadetes bacterium (groundwater metagenome) tRNA-Leu
Rfam family: tRNA
About the family: Transfer RNA (tRNA) molecules are approximately 80 nucleotides in length. Their secondary structure includes four short double-helical elements and three loops (D, anti-codon, and T loops). Further hydrogen bonds mediate the characteristic L-shaped molecular structure. tRNAs have two regions of fundamental functional importance: the anti-codon, which is responsible for specific mRNA codon recognition, and the 3' end, to which the tRNAs corresponding amino acid is attached (by aminoacyl-tRNA synthetases). tRNAs cope with the degeneracy of the genetic code in two manners: having more than one tRNA (with a specific anti-codon) for a particular amino acid; and 'wobble' base-pairing, i.e. permitting non-standard base-pairing at the 3rd anti-codon position.
Source: RNAcentral